UGGGGAAUUUUGGACAAUGGGCGCAAGCCUGAUCCAGCCAUGCCGCGUGCGGGAAGAAGGCCUUCGGGUUGCAAACCGCUUUUGUCAGGGAAGAAAUCUUCUGAGUUAAUACCUCGGGAGGAUGACGGUACCUGAAGAAUAAGCACCGGCUAACUACGUGCCAGCAGCCGCGGUAAUACGUAGGGUGCAAGCGUUAAUCGGAAUUACUGGGCGUAAAGCGUGCGCAGGCGGUUUUGUAAGACAGAGGUGAAAUCCCCGGGCUCAACCUGGGAACUGCCUUUGUGACUGCAAGGCUUGAGUGCGGCAGAGGGGGAUGGAAUUCCGCGUGUAGCAGUGAAAUGCGUAGAUAUGCGGAGGAACGCCCGAUGGCGAAGGCAAUCCCCCUGGGCCUGCACUGACGCUCAUGCACGAAAGCGUGGGGAGCAAACAGGAUUAGAUAGCCCUGGUAGUCCACGCCCUAAAACGAUGUCAACUGGUUGUUGGGAAGGUUCCUUCUCAGUAACGUAGCUAACGCGUGAAGUUGACCGCCUGGGGAGUACGGCCGCAAGGUUGAAACUC
RNAcentral lists this ribosomal RNA (558 nucleotides) under uncultured bacterium. RNAcentral's name for it is "partial 16S ribosomal RNA". It matches the Rfam family "Bacterial small subunit ribosomal RNA", at positions 355 to 902 of the family's 1533-position model. The record is from RNAcentral.